AUGAAAUGCAAAGCAGGAAGCAAAGGAUCUAGCCCUCUGUCCUUCCGCAUGAUGUAACUCUAAGGAGGAGGGGCAGAAAAAGGAGGAGCAUAAACAUGUCCCUGGCCACCCCAGAAUUUGUCAUCUGGAAGAUGUGAUAACCAUAAAGCAGUGUCUGGCAGACUUUUGGCUACAGGGGUGUAGAAGACCAAUGCCAGCUGCUGUGCUCUGGGUUUACCCCAAGGCCACGCUUCCCACAGUCUGCGCCCAGCCCUAACACUCCAUCUCUAAUCUGGAAGGAGACCCCUCUGCUGGAUGACUCUGGUGUGAAGGCUCCUCCUCGAUAUCUUUGGUACAGCAUGGAGGCACUGCAGAGAAUUUACUACGACUGGAAAACUUGGAAAAUUGGCCUUCAAACCUGUUCUUCUAAAAAUGGGAUGAGUAUCUUCAUCCUAUUUACUUCAUGAGAUCAAAAUCUCUCUUCUGACAAAAAAAGGAGACAUCUGUGACUUCAACCUGAAUGCCCUCGUUAAGUUUUAACCUUUCUUCCCCUUUUGUAAGUGCAUGGGCAACUUG
Long non-coding RNA from Sciurus carolinensis (gray squirrel), 555 nucleotides. RefSeq lists it as uncharacterized. The record is from RefSeq and is a predicted model, not a curated record. The transcript has 3 exons. Lineage: Eukaryota; Metazoa; Chordata; Mammalia; Rodentia; Sciuridae.